Eubalaena glacialis (North Atlantic right whale) is the source of this 1593-nucleotide long non-coding RNA. RefSeq lists it as uncharacterized. The record is from RefSeq and is a predicted model, not a curated record. NCBI's taxonomy places the organism in Eukaryota, Metazoa, Chordata, Mammalia, Artiodactyla, Balaenidae. The transcript is spliced from 3 exons.
AGACGGAGCGGCAGAGGCCAGGAGACCUACAAAGGGGCCGUGCAACAUUCCAGCAGUGAGGUGUAGCGAGGCCCAACUAGCGUUGUGUGUGAGGACGGAGCAGAGUCGGAGCAGAGUCUGCAGCCAGGGGCCUCCCCAGCGCUCACAGCCUCGGGUAGCUGCCAGGCUAGACGCUCGCUACACUCGACUGCCCUCUAGUGGCCAAAGCCGGGAAGCCAGUCACGCCUUACAGGGCUACCUCUUAGGGAUAGAGCAUUGCGGGAACGUGAAGAAGGAGCUCCGGGCUCUCUGGUGUCAGAGAAGGCUUCCCAGAGGACACGACGCUUCCACUGAGCAUGGGCUCUUCGUUGCCAUAUGGCGUCUCUGGGGGUUUAACACUAGCCACCCCUUAUACCCCACAUAAUAGGAGCUGCUCUCUGCUUUAUACUGCCCGUCGCCGGCUGGAGUUGGAGCCUAAUUUGUGUGGCCAGAUGAGGAAAUCAAGGCACAGAGAGGCAGAGGGACUCACCCACAGUCACACAGCUGAGGUGACAGAAUCAGAACUGGGAGACUGGCUCCUGAGUCUAUGGUCUUAACCACUUGCCAUUUGACCCUCUUUGUGCUGGUCACACAACGAUGCCCAGAACCACACUGAGGAGUGUUUUGCCUUUAACCGUCUUCUAUCCUGUUCACCACCCUUGUUCAACCUGUUUCCCACUCCCUGAAGGGUACUUAAUGGCUAAAUGAAUCCCAAUUAAAUAGUAACUAGAAGAGAGGCACCUGAGCCUCCUCCCCUGGACCCUUUCCUUUCUGCUCAGUGUCCCAGUGUUUGUCACAGCAUCUGUGUUUGCAGAAGGUUCGUGGGUGCAGACUCCCCAGCAGGACGGAUGGGAGGGCACAGCCUCUGGUCUGGGGAAAUUUAUGUCUAAAGGGAGCCGAGGCGGGUGAACUAUUCUGUUUGCUCCUUUUGCUCUCUCUCAAGCACAGUCAGCUAGUGUUUUUUAAACUGUGAGUCGCCACGCAUUAGUGAAUCAUGACAACCAUUUAGUGCGUCUCAAAUCACAUUUUAUUUACGUGAAGCUAAUUAAAAUUUAAAAUAUCGUGUGCAUUUUAUGUAGCAUGGUUAAGAAUUGUUUUAGGAAAUUUUGUUGUAGUUGUGUGCACCUGCGUGUGUGUGUGUGCACACGCACACUUGGCUACGAUAUAAAAUAUAUUUCUUACUGUGAGUCCAGUCAAAAAAGUUAAAGAGCCACAUAGCUAAAUGUUUUUCUCCUCUGCUUUCACAAUACUUGUUUACAGGAGCUUUACAACCCAUGUUUUUUUUUUUUUGCUCGAGUUAAUCUGAAAGUGAGUUUCUAUCAGCCAGUCUACACUGGCCAUGAUGGAACAGAGGAGGGGUGAGGGGUGCUAAGACAGCACACGGAGGGAAGAGCACGGCCACAGAGCCGGGGUUGCACUCCUCGGCCACCAAAUGUACCACCCAGAUGAUGACCCAGCGCCUCACCUGCUUAACUGAAGUCACCUGUGCUUCAUUAAAACCUUGAGGCCUGUGAGCAAGUUAAAUUGUUUGAAUUAACACAACUUGUUGGAGCCAAACUUAAGCUAUAUUUUCAU